This 501-nucleotide ribosomal RNA is filed under the name uncultured bacterium. RNAcentral's name for it is "partial 16S ribosomal RNA". It matches the Rfam family "Bacterial small subunit ribosomal RNA", at positions 30 to 523 of the family's 1533-position model. The record is from RNAcentral.
AUUGAACGCUGGCGGCAGGCUUAACACAUGCAAGUCGAGCGGGGGAAGGUAGCUUGCUACCGGACCUAGCGGCGGACGAGUGAGUAAUGCUUAGGAAUCUGCCUAUUAGUGGGGGACAACAUCGCGAGAGGGAUGCUAAUACCGCAUACGUCCUACGGGAGACAGCAGGGUAUAUUCGGACCUUGCGCUCAUAGAUGACCCUAAGUCGGAUUAGUUAGUUGGCGGGGUAAAGGCCUACCAAGGGGAAGAUCUGUAGCGGGUCUGAGAGGCUGACCCGCCACACUGGGACGGAGACACGGCCCAGACUCCUACGGGAGGCAGCAGUGGGGAAUAUUGGACAAUGGGGGGAACCCUGAUCCGGCCACGCCGCGUGUGUGAAGAAGGCCUUAUGGUUGUAAAGCACUUUAAGCGAGGAGGAGGCUACUUUAGUUAAUACCUAGAGAUAGUGGACGUUACUCGCAGAAUAAGCACCGGCUAACUCUGUGCCAGCCGCCGCCGUAA